Molecule: long non-coding RNA, 1214 nt
Filed under: Cricetulus griseus (Chinese hamster)
Lineage: Eukaryota; Metazoa; Chordata; Mammalia; Rodentia; Cricetidae
Description: lncRNA (ENSCGRG00015038035.1)
Source: RNAcentral
UAUUAUGGUUGGGAUUGGAAGGAGAUGUUCAGGCUUGGACACCUCUUUCAGAUGACUUUAGGGUUUAGUUAAAAUAGAUAGUUAGGAUGUGACAUAAGCAGAUUGUUGUAUCUUAUAUUUUACCUUUAUGAUUGUUAAUUUUGGAUACUUACACUGUUAAGUUUUAAUCUUCUUUUAGACUAAAAGGGGAAUUGUAGGGGAAGCUGUAGCCAUGCCUACUUAGGGGCUGGCUACAGGUGUGCCUGACCACGCUUUCGAGGGCGUGGUCAGGGUGAUGUAAAGCGAUACUUGCAAGGGACUGUAUUUCUCUUUCAGUUUCACUUUUGGGCUUGUGUACAGACCGCCGUGCCGGCUGGCUAGGUUGCUCUGAAAUGGGGCCAAGAAAAGCAGAACUACAGCUUCUAAGUACCGACUUUCUCUGCCCUAAGCGGAUUGAGACUUACUCCGGAAUAUGUGACCUUUCACCCUCAUUAUGAAGAAUGGAAUGAAAUCAUUUUCCAACUGAAUCAAAUCACUUAGAUGUGCCUAAGGAGGAACUCAGACUCUUAAACACCAUACGGUGCUGUUCAUGAUACAUGAUCUGUGUGUUAAUCAUUGGCUUCCUCUGGAAAGCACAUGUAGAAAAUGACCCUAACAACUCCUAUUGCUUUGUUUUCUCUACAUUGAUGCUCCUGAUAUUCCUCCCAUGCUGUAGAAACGUUGUGAAUUACCUAAGGAGAAAGAACCGGGUUGACAGAACAUUGUCAUUAACUGGAAAGUCCUCUAAAUUUUUCCCUCUUUCAUGAUUCUGGUUUUAGCUCAAACAAGCCUGAUGGUCUUUCAGAUAUGGAACAAGCCUGGAGGAAGAGACUGUGAGCCAUCAACUAGAGGAUUCUGAGGACAUGUAGCACCCGUGUACCCCUCCCUGGAACAAGUAUUAAUUUAAACCCUGGGGAGGAGGUCCUUGGACAGUGUUCCUAUUCACACAUGAAGUCACAUACAUCUUAUUCUACAUCAAGGAGUAUCAAUUCAAAUCUUGACCUAUUUGUGCCCCAUCUGUACUACCGUUUGAGACUAAUUUCUUCAAGUUUUGAUCAUCAUUGUGUAAUAUUUGACAAGUCUGGCUCCAGGCAAGCAUUCUGUGUGUGAUCUUUCAAGUAUAACCAUAGACGAUUAAAAGACUUUGGCCAACAGACCUUAUGACCACUGAACUUUAUGUACAGUGAGUGUUGUAC